Molecule: ribosomal RNA, 486 nt
Filed under: uncultured bacterium
Lineage: Bacteria
Description: partial 16S ribosomal RNA
Rfam family: Bacterial small subunit ribosomal RNA
Source: RNAcentral
AUUGAACGCUGGCGGCAUGCCUUACACAUGCAAGUCGAACGGCAGCACGGGUGCUUGCACCUGGUGGCGAGUGGCGAACGGGUGAGUAAUACAUCGGAACAUGUCCUGUAGUGGGGGAUAGCCCGGCGAAAGCCGGAUUAAUACCGCAUACGAUCUACGGAUGAAAGCGGGGGACCUUCGGGCCUCGCGCUAUAGGGUUGGCCGAUGGCUGAUUAGCUAGUUGGUGGGGUAAAGGCCUACCAAGGCGACGAUCAGUAGCUGGUCUGAGAGGACGACCAGCCACACUGGGACUGAGACACGGCCCAGACUCCUACGGGAGCCAGCAGUGGGGAAUUUUGGACAAUGGGCGAAAGCCUGAUCCAGCAAUGCCGCGUGUGUGAAGAAGGCCUUCGGGUUGUAAAGCACUUUUGUCCGGAAAGAAAUCCUUGGCCCUAAUACGGUCGGGGGAUGACGGUACCGGAAGAAUAAGCACCGGCUAACUACGUG